This 110-nucleotide transfer RNA is filed under the name Coniochaeta sp. 2T2.1. It matches the Rfam family "tRNA". Rfam says of the family: Transfer RNA (tRNA) molecules are approximately 80 nucleotides in length. Their secondary structure includes four short double-helical elements and three loops (D, anti-codon, and T loops). Further hydrogen bonds mediate the characteristic L-shaped molecular structure. tRNAs have two regions of fundamental functional importance: the anti-codon, which is responsible for specific mRNA codon recognition, and the 3' end, to which the tRNAs corresponding amino acid is attached (by aminoacyl-tRNA synthetases). tRNAs cope with the degeneracy of the genetic code in two manners: having more than one tRNA (with a specific anti-codon) for a particular amino acid; and 'wobble' base-pairing, i.e. permitting non-standard base-pairing at the 3rd anti-codon position. The record is from Rfam by way of RNAcentral. Lineage: Eukaryota; Fungi; Ascomycota; Sordariomycetes; Coniochaetales; Coniochaetaceae.
GGCCUUGUGGUUUAGAGGUAUAAUUCUCGCUUCGGGAAAUCAUCUUCCCGGCCCGUAACAGGGUCAAGACUAUCUGUGAGAGGUCCCGGGUUCGAAUCCCGGCAAGGCCC